Molecule: ribosomal RNA, 333 nt
Filed under: Triticum aestivum (bread wheat)
Lineage: Eukaryota; Viridiplantae; Streptophyta; Magnoliopsida; Poales; Poaceae
Description: partial small subunit ribosomal RNA
Source: RNAcentral
AUGCUGCCAGCUGGCGUCAAGUUUGAUCCCACCGAUCAGGAGCUGAUCGAGCACCUUGAGGCCAAAGUGAGUGCUGACAGCAUGGGAUCUCACCCUCUCAUCGAUUUACUUAUACCAACCAUCGACAGCGAGCACGGCAUAUGCUACACCCAUCCUAAGAAACUUCCAGCGUUCAAAAGGGGCACAUGGACGCGUCGCAAGAUACAGUCUGAGUGCGGCAUGCACGCGAUGUGGCACAAGACCGGCAAUACCUUCCCGGUGAUGUUCAUUGGCCGGCAGACGGGCAACAAAAAGGUUCUAGUGUUGCACACCAACAAGAACUUCGACCAGUAG